CCUACGGGAGGCAGCAGUGGGGAAUAUUGCACAAUGGGCGAAAGCCUGAUGCAGCAACGCCGCGUGAGCGAUGAAGGCCUUCGGGUCGUAAAGCUCUGUCCUCAAGGAAGAUAAGGACGGGACUUGAGGAGGAAGCCCCGGCAAACUACGUGCCAGCAGCCGCGGUAAUACGUCGGGGGCUAGCGUUAUCUGGAAUUACUGGGGGUAAAGGGGGCGUAGGGGGUUUCUUAAGUCAGAGGUGAAAGGCUACGGCUCAACCGUAGUAAGCCUUUGAAACUGGGAAACUUGAGUGGAGGAGAGGAGAGUGGAAUUCCUAGGGUAGCGGUGAAAUGCGUAGAUAUUAGGAGGAACACCAGUUGCGAAGGCGGCUCUCUGGCACGUAACUGACGCUGAGGCACGAAAGCGUGGGGAGCAAACAGGAUUAGAUACCCUUGUAGUC
This 439-nucleotide ribosomal RNA is filed under the name uncultured bacterium. RNAcentral describes it as "partial 16S ribosomal RNA". It matches the Rfam family "Bacterial small subunit ribosomal RNA", at positions 338 to 795 of the family's 1533-position model. The record is from RNAcentral.